CCGGGCUAGAAGCGACGC
RNAcentral lists this small nuclear RNA (18 nucleotides) under Arabidopsis thaliana (thale cress). Its description in RNAcentral is "snRNA_16003". The record is from RNAcentral. Lineage: Eukaryota; Viridiplantae; Streptophyta; Magnoliopsida; Brassicales; Brassicaceae.